RNAcentral lists this ribosomal RNA (395 nucleotides) under uncultured bacterium. Its description in RNAcentral is "bacterial SSU rRNA". It matches the Rfam family "Bacterial small subunit ribosomal RNA", at positions 521 to 916 of the family's 1533-position model. The record is from RNAcentral.
UAAUACGAAGGGGGCUAGCGUUGUUCGGAAUUACUGGGCGUAAAGCGCACGUAGGCGGCUUUCCAAGUUGGAGGUGAAAUCCCCGGGCUUAACCCGGGAACUGCCUCCAAAACUGAAAGGCUAGAGUCCGAGAGAGGUGAGUGGAAUUUCCAGUGUAGAGGUGAAAUUCGUAGAUAUUGGAAAGAACACCAGUGGCGAAGGCGGCUCACUGGCUCGGUACUGACGCUGAGGUGCGACAGCGUGGGGAGCAAACAGGAUUAGAUACCCUGGUAGUCCACGCCGUAAACGAUGGGUGCUAGUUGUCGGGCAGCUUGCUGUUCGGUGACGCAGCUAACGCAUUAAGCACCCCGCCUGGGGAGUACGGUCGCAAGAUUAAAACUCAAAUGAAUUGACGG